ACGGAAGGCAGCAGUGGGGGAUAUUGCACAAUGGGGGAAACCCUGAUGCAGCAAUGCCGCGUGAGGGAAGAAGGUCUUCGGAUUGUAAACCUAAGUAGACAGGGACGAUAAUGACGGUACCUGUAAAGUAAGCUCCGGCUAACUACGUGCCAGCAGCCGCGGUAAUACGUAGGGAGCGAGCGUUGUCCGGAUUUACUGGGUGUAAAGGGUGCGUAGGCGGGUCAGCAAGUCAGGCGUGAAAUACCGAGGCUUAACUUCGGAGCUGCGCUUGAAACUGUCGAUCUUGAGUGAAGUAGAGGCAAGCGGAAUUCCUAGUGUAGCGGUGAAAUGCGUAGAUAUUAGGAGGAACACCAGUGGCGAAGGCGGCUUGCUGGGCUUUAACUGACGCUGAAGCACGAAAGUAUGGGGAGCAAACAGGAUUAGAUACCCUGGUA
Molecule: ribosomal RNA, 434 nt
Filed under: uncultured Oscillospiraceae bacterium
Lineage: Bacteria; Bacillati; Bacillota; Clostridia; Eubacteriales; Oscillospiraceae
Description: bacterial SSU rRNA
Rfam family: Bacterial small subunit ribosomal RNA
Source: RNAcentral